This 884-nucleotide ribosomal RNA is filed under the name uncultured bacterium. RNAcentral describes it as "bacterial SSU rRNA". It matches the Rfam family "Bacterial small subunit ribosomal RNA", at positions 40 to 916 of the family's 1533-position model. The record is from RNAcentral.
CGGCGUGCAUAAUACAUGCAAGUCGAGCGGAUUUAUCCUUCGGAUAAGUUAGCGGCGGACGGGUGAGUAACACGUAGGUAACCUGCCUAUAAGAUCGGGAUAACUAUCGGAAACGAUAGCUAAGACCGGAUAACUGGUUUUCUCGCAUGAGAGAAUUAUGAAACACGGAGCAAUCUGUGGCUUAUAGAUGGGCCUGCGGCGCAUUAGCUAGUUGGUGAGGUAACGGCUCACCAAGGCGACGAUGCGUAGCCGACCUGAGAGGGUGAACGGCCACACUGGGACUGAGACACGGCCCAGACUCCUACGGGAGGCAGCAGUAGGGAAUCUUCCGCAAUGGACGCAAGUCUGACGGAGCAACGCCGCGUGAGUGAUGAAGGUUUUCGGAUCGUAAAGCUCUGUUGCCCUAGACGAACAGCAAGGAGAGUAACUGCUCUUUGUGUGACGGUAUAGGAGAAGAAAGCCCCGGCUAACUACGUGCCAGCAGCCGCGGUAAUACGUAGGGGGCAAGCGUUGUCCGGAAUUAUUGGGCGUAAAGCGCGCGCAGGCGGUCAAUUAAGUUGGGUGUUUAAGCCCGGGGCUCAACCCCGGUUCGCAUCCAAAACUGGUUGACUUGAGUGUAGGAGAGGAAAGUGGAAUUCCACGUGUAGCGGUGAAAUGCGUAGAGAUGUGGAGGAACACCAGUGGCGAAGGCGACUUUCUGGCCUAUAACUGACGCUGAGGCGCGAAAGCGUGGGGAGCAAACAGGAUUAGAUACCCUGGUAGUCCACGCCAUAAACGAUGCAUACUAGGUGUUGGGGAUUCGAUUCCUCGGUGCCGAAGUUAACACAGUAAGUAUGCCGCCUGGGGAGUACGCUCGCAAGAGUGAAACUCAAAGGAAUUGACGG